This 664-nucleotide ribosomal RNA is filed under the name uncultured fungus. Its description in RNAcentral is "eukaryotic LSU rRNA". It matches the Rfam family "Eukaryotic large subunit ribosomal RNA", at positions 24 to 664 of the family's 3401-position model. Lineage: Eukaryota; Fungi. The record is from RNAcentral.
CCCGCUGAACUUAAGCAUAUCAAUAAGCGGAGGAAAAGAAACUAACAAGGAUUCCCCUAGUAACUGCGAGUGAAGCGGGAAAAGCUCAAAUUUAAAAUCUGGCAGCCAUUUUACGGUUGUCCGAGUUGUAAUCUAGAGAAGUGCUUUCCGCGCUGGACCGUGUACAAGUCUCUUGGAAUAGAGCAUCAUAGAGGGUGAGAAUCCCGUCUUUGACACGGACUACCAGUGCUUUAUGUGAUGCGCUCUCAAAGAGUCGAGUUGUUUGGGAAUGCAGCUCAAAAUGGGUGGUAAAUUCCAUCUAAAGCUAAAUAUUGGCGAGAGACCGAUAGCGAACAAGUACCGUGAGGGAAAGAUGAAAAGAACUUUGGAAAGAGAGUUAAACAGUACGUGAAAUUGCUGAAAGGGAAACGCUUGAAGUCAGUCACGUUGACUCGGAAUCAGCUCUGCUUUUGCUGGGUGUACUUUCUUGUCAAUGGGUCAGCAUCAAUUUUGACCAUUGGAUAAAGUUGCUGGGAAUGUAGCAUCCUUUUGGAUGUGUUAUAGCCUGGUGAUGCAUACAGUGGUUGGGAUUGAGGAAUUCAGCACGCCACCAGGCCGGGUUUUGACCACGUUCGUGCUUAGGAUGCUGGCAUAAUGGCUUUAAUUGACCCGUCUUGAAACACGG